This 386-nucleotide ribosomal RNA is filed under the name uncultured Glomeromycotina. Its description in RNAcentral is "SSU rRNA". It matches the Rfam family "Eukaryotic small subunit ribosomal RNA", at positions 569 to 961 of the family's 1831-position model. The record is from RNAcentral. Lineage: Eukaryota; Fungi; Glomeromycota.
AGCAGCCGCGGUAAUUCCAGCUCCAAUAGCGUAUAUUAAAGUUGUUGCAGUUAAAAAGCUCGUAGUUGAAUUUCGGGAUCAAGGGAUCGGUCAUGCCUUGGUAUGUACUGGUUUUAUUGGUUCUCAUCUUCUAAAGAACCAUAAUGUCAUUCAUUUGAUGUUAUGGGGAAUUAGGACUGUUACCUUGAAAAAAUUAGAGUGUUUAAAGCAGGCUUACGCUUGAAUACAUUAGCAUGGAAUAAUGAAAUAGGACAUCAGAUUCUAUUUUGUGGUUUCUAGGAUUGACGUAAUGAUUAAUAGGGAUAGUUGGGGGCAUUAGUAUUCAAUUGUCAGAGGUGAAAUUCUUGGAUUUAUUGAAGACUAACUACUGCGAAAGCAUUUGCCAA